GACAGAGGCCUCAAGCGUUAGGCGGAAUCACUGGGCUUAAAGCGUGUGUAGGUGGAUUCCUAAGUGCCUUGUGAAAUCCCACGGCUCAACCGUGGAACUGCUUGGCAUACUGGGAGUCUUGAGCCAUCUAGGGGCAACUGGAACAGACGGUGGAGCGGUGAAAUGCGUAGAUAUCGUCUGGAACGCCAAUGGUGAAGACAGGUUGCUGGGGAUGUGCUGACACUGAGACACGAAAGCCAGGGGAGCAAACGGG
Molecule: ribosomal RNA, 253 nt
Filed under: uncultured bacterium
Lineage: Bacteria
Description: partial 16S ribosomal RNA
Rfam family: Bacterial small subunit ribosomal RNA
Source: RNAcentral